Molecule: ribosomal RNA, 218 nt
Filed under: Clostridioides difficile
Lineage: Bacteria; Bacillati; Bacillota; Clostridia; Peptostreptococcales; Peptostreptococcaceae
Description: partial 23S ribosomal RNA
Rfam family: Bacterial large subunit ribosomal RNA
Source: RNAcentral
CACCUACCGAAGACUAUCAAACUCCGAAUGCCGUCAUCUUAUACUUGGGAGUCAGACUGUGGGUGAUAAGAUUCAUAGUCGAAAGGGCAAUAGCCCAGAUCGUCAGCUAAGGUCCCUAAAUGUAAGUGAAGUGGUAAAGGAUGUGGGAUUGCACAGACAACCAGGAUGUUGGCUUAGAAGCAGCCACUCAUUCAAAGAGUGCGUAAUAGCUCACUGGU